RNAcentral lists this ribosomal RNA (239 nucleotides) under uncultured bacterium. RNAcentral's name for it is "partial 16S ribosomal RNA". It matches the Rfam family "Bacterial small subunit ribosomal RNA", at positions 15 to 236 of the family's 1533-position model. The record is from RNAcentral.
GAUCCUGGCUCAGGAUGAACGCUGGCGGCGUGCUUAACACAUGCAAGUCGAACGAAGCACUUUAACCUGAUUCUUCGGAUGAAGGUUUUUGUGACUGAGUGGCGGACGGGUGAGUAACGCGUGGGUAACCUGCCUCAUACAGGGGGAUAACAGUUAGAAAUGACUGCUAAUACCGCAUAAGACCACAGAGUCGCAUGGCUCGGUGGGAAAAACUCCGGUGGUAUGAGAUGGACCCGCGU